AGUCGUAACAAGGUUUCCGUAGGUGAACCUGCGGAAGGAUCAUUACAGUAUUCUUUUUGCCAGCGCUUAAUUGCGCGGCGAAAAAACCUUACACACAGUGUUUUUUGUUAUUACAAGAACUUUUGCUUUGGUCUGGACUAGAAAUAGUUUGGGCCAGAGGUUUACUGAACUAAACUUCAAUAUUUAUAUUGAAUUGUUAUUUAUUUAAUUGUCAAUUUGUUGAUUAAAUUCAAAAAAUCUUCAAAACUUUCAACAACGGAUCUCUUGGUUCUCGCAUCGAUGAAGAACGCAGCGAAAUGCGAUAAGUAAUAUGAAUUGCAGAUUUUCGUGAAUCAUCGAAUCUUUGAACGCACAUUGCGCCCUCUGGUAUUCCAGAGGGCAUGCCUGUUUGAGCGUCAUUUCUCUCUCAAACCUUCGGGUUUGGUAUUGAGUGAUACUCUUAGUCGAACUAGGCGUUUGCUUGAAAUGUAUUGGCAUGAGUGGUACUGGAUAGUGCUAUAUGACUUUCAAUGUAUUAGGUUUAUCCAACUCGUUGAAUAGUUUAAUGGUAUAUUUCUCGGUAUUCUAGGCUCGGCCUUACAAUAUAACAAACAAGUUUGACCUCAAAUCAGGUAGGACUACCCGCUGAACUUAAGCAUAUCAAUAAAAGUCG
This 652-nucleotide ribosomal RNA is filed under the name uncultured fungus. Its description in RNAcentral is "eukaryotic LSU rRNA". The stretch from base 245 to 398 matches the Rfam family "5.8S ribosomal RNA". Lineage: Eukaryota; Fungi. The record is from RNAcentral.